GAUCAUGGCUCAGGAUGAACGCUAGCUACAGGCUUAACACAUGCAAGUCGAGGGGCAGCAUGGUCUUAGCUUGCUAAGACUGAUGGCGACCGGCGCACGGGUGAGUAACACGUAUCCAACCUGCCGUCUACUCUUGGACAGCCUUCUGAAAGGAAGAUUAAUACAAGAUGGCAUCAUGAGUCCGCAUGUUCACAUGAUUAAAGAUUUAUCGGUGUACG
Molecule: ribosomal RNA, 218 nt
Filed under: uncultured bacterium
Lineage: Bacteria
Description: partial 16S ribosomal RNA
Rfam family: Bacterial small subunit ribosomal RNA
Source: RNAcentral